Molecule: ribosomal RNA, 253 nt
Filed under: uncultured bacterium
Lineage: Bacteria
Description: partial 16S ribosomal RNA
Rfam family: Bacterial small subunit ribosomal RNA
Source: RNAcentral
UACGUAGGGUGCAAUCGUUACUCGGAAUUACUGGGCGUAAAGCGUGCGCAGGCGGUGAUGUAAGACAGGUGUGAAAUCCCCGGGCUUAACCUGGGAACUGCAUUUGUGACUGCAUCGCUGGAGUGCGGCAGAGGGGGAUGGAAUUCCGCGUGUAGCAGUGAAAUGCGUAGAUAUGCGGAGGAACACCGAUGGCGAAGGCAAUCCCCUGGGCCUGCACUGACGCUCAUGCACGAAAGCGUGGGGAGCAAACAGG